This 269-nucleotide ribosomal RNA is filed under the name uncultured prokaryote. Its description in RNAcentral is "partial 16S ribosomal RNA". It matches the Rfam family "Bacterial small subunit ribosomal RNA", at positions 524 to 792 of the family's 1533-position model. The record is from RNAcentral.
CACGUAGGAGGCAAACGUUAUUCGGAAUUACUGGGCUUAAAGGGUGCGUAGGCGGCUCUGCAAGUUGGGUGUGAAAUCCCUCGGCUCAACCGAGGAAUGGCGCCCAAAACUGUGGAGCUCGAGGGAGACAGAGGUGAGUGGAGCUUGUGGUGGAGCGGUGAAAUGCGUUGAUAUCACAAGGAACACCGGUGGCGAAAGCGGCUCACUGGGUCUCUUCUGACGCUGAGGCACGAAAGCUGGGGGAGCGAACGGGAUUAGAUACCCCUGUA